GGCGUAGGAGUCAGACAGCUAGCACUAGGGCCGCAACCGAGCGACACGGAGCUGCCUUAGAAAGGUGGAGGUGGCUCACGGCAACUGCUGGAACAAGAAGAGAGAAGAAGAAAAUAGAAGGAAGAAGAAGAAAGAAGAAG
Long non-coding RNA from Juglans microcarpa x Juglans regia, 140 nucleotides. RefSeq lists it as uncharacterized. The record is from RefSeq and is a predicted model, not a curated record. The transcript has 4 exons. NCBI's taxonomy places the organism in Eukaryota, Viridiplantae, Streptophyta, Magnoliopsida, Fagales, Juglandaceae.